GCGAAGGUGGCGGAAUUGGUAGACGCGCUAGCCUCAGGUGUUAGUGUCCUUACGGACGUGGGGGUUCAAGUCCCCCCCCUCGCACCA
Molecule: transfer RNA, 87 nt
Filed under: Escherichia coli
Lineage: Bacteria; Pseudomonadati; Pseudomonadota; Gammaproteobacteria; Enterobacterales; Enterobacteriaceae
Also listed under: 2 other names
Description: tRNA-Leu
Rfam family: tRNA
About the family: Transfer RNA (tRNA) molecules are approximately 80 nucleotides in length. Their secondary structure includes four short double-helical elements and three loops (D, anti-codon, and T loops). Further hydrogen bonds mediate the characteristic L-shaped molecular structure. tRNAs have two regions of fundamental functional importance: the anti-codon, which is responsible for specific mRNA codon recognition, and the 3' end, to which the tRNAs corresponding amino acid is attached (by aminoacyl-tRNA synthetases). tRNAs cope with the degeneracy of the genetic code in two manners: having more than one tRNA (with a specific anti-codon) for a particular amino acid; and 'wobble' base-pairing, i.e. permitting non-standard base-pairing at the 3rd anti-codon position.
Source: RNAcentral